RNAcentral lists this small nucleolar RNA (130 nucleotides) under Echinops telfairi (small Madagascar hedgehog). RNAcentral describes it as "Small nucleolar RNA SNORA61 (ENSETEG00000026303.1)". Lineage: Eukaryota; Metazoa; Chordata; Mammalia; Afrosoricida; Tenrecidae. The record is from RNAcentral.
UCCUUCCUUAUUCCUUUCCCCUCAGGUGUACAUAAUGGUCUGAGUGGCUAGAAAAGGGGGGAAAGUAAAAUUGAAGUGGACUUGGAGUCCUCACUGACAAAUGUUAAUUUCAAGCCUAUGGAAAAAAAAU